GUGAACGCUGGCGGCGUGCCUAAUACAUGCAAGUCGAGCGAACAGACGAGGAGCUUGCUCCUCUGACGUUAGCGGCGGACGGGUGAGUAACACGUGGAUAACCUACCUAUAAGACUGGGAUAACUUCGGGAAACCGGAGCUAAUACCGGAUAAUAUAUUGAACCGCAUGGUUCCAUAGUGAAAGACGGUUUUGCUGUCACUUAUAGAUGGAUCCGCGCCGCAUUAGCUAGUUGGUAAGGUAACGGCUUACCAAGGCGACGAUGCGUAGCCGACCUGAGAGGGUGAUCGGCCACACUGGAACUGAGACACGGUCCAGACUCCUACGGGAGGCAGCAGUAGGGAAUCUUCCGCAAUGGGCGAAAGCCUGACGGAGCAACGCCGCGUGAGUGAUGAAGGUCUUCGGAUCGUAAAACGCUGUUAUUAGGGAAGAACAAAUGUGUAAGUAACGAUGCACGUCUUGACGGUACCUAAUCAGAAAGCCACGGCUAACUACGU
RNAcentral lists this ribosomal RNA (495 nucleotides) under uncultured bacterium. RNAcentral's name for it is "partial 16S ribosomal RNA". It matches the Rfam family "Bacterial small subunit ribosomal RNA", at positions 29 to 506 of the family's 1533-position model. The record is from RNAcentral.